Claviceps maximensis is the source of this 85-nucleotide non-coding RNA. The record is from the annotation of a GenBank genome assembly. NCBI's taxonomy places the organism in Eukaryota, Fungi, Ascomycota, Sordariomycetes, Hypocreales, Clavicipitaceae.
GGGCGAAUGGUUUAGUGGUAUAAUACUCCCUUAGCAUGGUUCAUCCACCUGGGAGUGGUCCAGGGUUCGAUUCCCUGUUCGUCCA